RNAcentral lists this long non-coding RNA (218 nucleotides) under Glycine max (soybean). Its description in RNAcentral is "long non-coding RNA (GMAX_LNC000391)". The record is from RNAcentral. Lineage: Eukaryota; Viridiplantae; Streptophyta; Magnoliopsida; Fabales; Fabaceae.
GGCGGUUAGUCCUUUGAAUCUUUUGGAAGAGAGAAGAGAGACACAAGAGAAUUCAGGCGAUUAGUCCUUCUGUUCUUUUGGCAAAGGGAGAAGAGAAUGAAAAAGAUGAAUAGCACAAGUUUUUGAACAAUGAACUUUUCUUGGAAGAGAAAGUGUUGAAUGAAAAAUUUUAGAAAGAUGAAAAAAAAUGAAUUAGAAAGUUCUGUAGAAAGUGUUGA